CAUGUGACUCACCAGCCAUGUGACCACCAGUCCCCCCUCUGCAAGCAGCGCCCAUGGGCGACGUGAGCCCUCUGUACUGACAGAGUGUGGUGGACACGAGGUCAGCAAGUGACAAGUCUAGCUGGUUCUGUUUUCUUAUCCUUCCAGCUGGGGUGGACUUAUUCCAGCAAGAGCUAUGAUGGUCCCCUGGGAGGCGGGCGGGACUGCAAGUGGCACAACGCAAUAAUGAAGCAUUCCUGACUCAGUAGUAAUCACCAGGAUGUUGGCGACACAUGGUAAGCAAAGCACAGCACAAGCAUGGUAGCCAUAGUUAUCUUCAACAGCAGGAUGCAUGGGCAACGGGCCGAAUAGCUUACCCACACUCCCAGGGCUGUGCAACAGACUAACAAACGUAAGGAAAGUCUCCUCAUUUUCAUAUAAGAUGUACAGGGAGUAGCCACUACUUCUUCUUUGCCUUUUCAUCCAAAUAUGUGCUUUGGGACUGCUGACAAUGGCCCAAAGUCAAAUGCAACUGCUGUCUCUUCCAGAGAUGCUGUGUAGGCCCUUCCUUUGUUGAGUAUGAGACUUUCCUCUUCUGCUUCUGAAAGUACGAUGACCUUAGUCAUACACAAAGGGUAAAUUCUUAUGACGUUGUCUGACGUUAACGGCACAAUUUGAGUAUCUAGCAACUCUCUCGGAUACCAGGCAACAUGCUUCAGAGUCAGAGAGGUUGAACUGGUGAAAAAUCUCUCAGCAACGGGAGUCGUGCUACAAUUCACUGCUGAUUUUCCACCUUCAAAUUCAGAAUUCUUUCCCCAUCUUUUAGGUAAUUCUAAUAUAAGUCCUUUUAUUCCUACAUGAUGCUACAUGAUGUUGUGCUGGGCUUAACAAGGCUUGAUAGAUUUCAAACAGGGGUGCAUUUAUGCAAAGCCGUCUCUGGUACUGCGAGAGGGAGGGCUCCUCACCGGCGCAGCUGGGGCCCCGAAGGCGCAUGACUAAGAAGGCGCUGUCUUCUGCGCCCCACAGAAAGAGCUCUCUGCGAGGCCCAAGACCAGCUUUCUCAUCAACAGCUGAGGAGGCAGUGGCGGCGACGAAGGCAAUGAUGAAGCUGGCUUCUCGGGUUCAGCUGAGCUCUGGUUUUUCCGUCCCUCUCGGAGCCGCAAGAACACAGCGUGGUUGGGCAGCCAGCACCUGCCUUCCUGGUCAGCCUCUUCUCCCUUCCCACCAUCACUGCCCCCAUCUCAACAAGGCCAGUCCGACAAAUUCUGCUUUGGAAAAUCGAAAGGAAAGAAGACACUACACUGACUACAACAAUGGAAUAGAAAUUCCAGGAACUAAAGAUGCAUUGAGAAGAGAGAAAGUUAUGUCCUGCAAACCAAUUCAAUGUCUGAGCGAUAAUAACGCCCUUCUCAAAUGACAUGUAAUGAAAACUAUAUGUAUAUUGUAUUUGUGUUUAUAUGUAAUAUAUGUACAUAUAUAAGUAUGUUCAUUCCCCAUCUGAUAACUAUUUCUGUCUUGCAGGUUGUUUAAUUUUUGUUUCUUAUGUUUCAAUCUAUCUAAACAUUUACAUGGUUGUAGCUUUAUAAUACACAGAUAUAUCUGGCAGUGUCUCAGGUCCCUCAGAAACUGAAUCUUUGGGCAGGCUGUUAGUUCCAGAGGUGCAGUGAGGGAGGCACCCAAUCAGUGUAGACCAGGGUUUUUCAACCUCGACACAAUCGCUAUUUUGUUAAUUUUCUCUUGUAGGAGUUUGUCCUGUUUGUCCGUAUCCCUGGCCUCUACCUGCCAGGUGUCAGUAGCUUCCCCAAGCUAAGAUGACCAAAAAUGGCCACCAGACAUCACAAAAUUGCCCCCAGUGAAAAGCUGGUUGUUUAAACAUGUUUCCUUAUUUCCUGCCCUCAAUGCUGUACAAAGCUGUGAUACUUGGUACCGUAGCAGGCAUCUUGCAGGCAUGAGGGAAUGAUAUUACAGAGGCACUGAGGCUAGUACAUGAGGUAGAAGGGGCCAUGGUUUUUGAUGACAUUGCCAAAGUACUACACCAACCCUAGCAUUACCUCCCUAUGGGAAAUCAAUAGCUGCCACCACUUAAGCCUCUUUGGCCCUGUGUUUUGUCAUUUACAGCCAAGACCAUCCUAGUGAAUCCAGUGAUCACCUUACUCCUCUGCUUAAAACCCUUUGCUAGUUCUCCAUUCAGGAUGAAUUCUAGACUCCUGAGCUUAGCACCCGAGGGCCUUUGUCUCUCCCUCCUGCUCAUCUCUC
Long non-coding RNA from Bos indicus x Bos taurus (hybrid cattle), 2235 nucleotides. The record is from Ensembl. Lineage: Eukaryota; Metazoa; Chordata; Mammalia; Artiodactyla; Bovidae.